AUUAAACUAAUUAAUAGUUCAAUUAAUAAAACAUAAGACAGCCCAAUUAAAUUAAUUGAAGGCAAUCCAAAGUCCUUAAAUAAAAAAAAAAAGGGCCCAAAACAUUUAUUUAAAGCAAUGGCCCAAGCUGAAAUUUAAAACAUAAAUCGGCCCAACCCAAACUGAAACAAAAAAUUAAACAAACUCGGCCCAAUACUCUGCCCAACACCCAUGCCCUAGCCCAACAGCCCAACACUCCCUCCCCCCUUUCCUUAUCAGUCACGCCCCUCCCUCAUCAGUCACGCACACACCAGUCUCUCUCUCCCUCGACUGAUCAACAUUCGCCCCCUUCUCUCUCAGCCAUAAGUCAGCCAAAUCCCGCCUCCGCCUCCCUCCGUUCUCACUCUCUG
This 389-nucleotide long non-coding RNA is filed under the name Salvia miltiorrhiza (redroot sage). Its description in RNAcentral is "long non-coding RNA (SMIL_LNC014318)". Lineage: Eukaryota; Viridiplantae; Streptophyta; Magnoliopsida; Lamiales; Lamiaceae. The record is from RNAcentral.